This 119-nucleotide ribosomal RNA is filed under the name Betta splendens (Siamese fighting fish). The record is from RNAcentral. Lineage: Eukaryota; Metazoa; Chordata; Actinopteri; Anabantiformes; Osphronemidae.
GCUUAUGGCCACACCAUCCUCAAAGUGCCUGAUCCUAUCUGACCUCGGAAGCUAAGCAGGGUUGUGCCUGGUUAGUACUUGGAUGGGAGACAUCCUGGCAAUAGCAGGUGCUGAAAGCG